RNAcentral lists this ribosomal RNA (509 nucleotides) under uncultured bacterium. RNAcentral's name for it is "partial 16S ribosomal RNA". It matches the Rfam family "Bacterial small subunit ribosomal RNA", at positions 28 to 507 of the family's 1533-position model. The record is from RNAcentral.
GACGAACGCUGGCGGCGUGCUUAACACAUGCAAGUCGAACGAAGAGCGAUGGAAGCUUGCUUCUAUCAAUCUUAGUGGCGAACGGGUGAGUAACGCGUAAUCAACCUGCCCUUCAGAGGGGGACAACAGUUGGAAACGACUGCUAAUACCGCAUACGAUCUAAUCUCGGCAUCGAGGAUAGAUGAAAGGUGGCCUCUACAUGUAGCUAUCAAUGAAGGAGGGGAUUGCGGCUGAUUAGCUAGGUGGAGGGGUAACGGCCCACCAAGGCGAUGAUCAGUAGCCGGUCUGAGAGGAUGAACGGCCACAUUGGGACUGAGACACGGCCCAGACUCCUACGGGAGGCAGCAGUGGGGAAUCUUCCGCAAUGGACGAAAGUCUGACGGAGCAACGCCGCGUGAGUGAUGACGGCCUUCGGGUUGUAAAGCUCUGUUAAUCGGGACGAAAGGCCUUCUUGCGAAUAGUGAGAAGGAUUGACGGUACCGGAAUAGAAAGCCACGGCUAACUACGUG